RNAcentral lists this ribosomal RNA (164 nucleotides) under uncultured bacterium. RNAcentral's name for it is "partial 16S rRNA". It matches the Rfam family "Bacterial small subunit ribosomal RNA", at positions 355 to 511 of the family's 1533-position model. The record is from RNAcentral.
UAGGGAACCUUCCACAAUGGACGAAAGUCUGAUGGAGCAACGCCGCGUGAGUGAAGAAGGUUUUCGGAUCGUAAAGCUCUGUUGUUGGUGAAGAAGGAUAGAGGCAGUAACUGGUCUUUAUUUGACGGUAAUCAACCAGAAAGUCACGGCUAACUACGUGCCAC